This 466-nucleotide long non-coding RNA is filed under the name Carica papaya (papaya). RNAcentral describes it as "long non-coding RNA (CPAP_LNC002512)". The record is from RNAcentral. Lineage: Eukaryota; Viridiplantae; Streptophyta; Magnoliopsida; Brassicales; Caricaceae.
AAAAUUUGGGUUCUAUGGGUAUUUUUGAAAGAAAAAUAAAAAAUCGGAGGUCAAAACGUAAUUUAAAAAAAUUAUACCACGUCAGCUGCCCGGUCAGCAGCCUCGGCCAACCAGGACGCGUCAGGUGGUAGAGACAUUGACGCAGGAGGCCACGCGGAAGGGAGCCACGUAGGCGAUCCGCGUGCGCGAGAUCAAAUAACUGAGAUCCGUUUCCGUGCGUACGAACGACCCAUAUUAAAAAUGCGCACGGACGGCCCAGAUUGAAUCGCGAUGAACGACUCAUAUUCAUUUCUUAUUUAAUCGCGAUCAGACGGUCCAGAUUAAAUGCGAUGGACGGCUUAUAUCAAAAGCGGAUGAUUAUAAAUAAUCUCAUCCGCACCCAAACCCUAACCCUAGUUGCCAGAGCUCUUCGCCGGAGAAGAUAGCCCAACCGCCGGGGAGCCGAUCGCCGCUACCUGUCGCCGUA